CACAAAGAAAUCAGCAUGCGAAUGUCACCCGUACAUGAAUUUCAGAUGAAGUCUACGUUUGUCACUGCAGACUUUAGAGAUUUGCCGUUAUACAUUUUGAGAGAAUGAAGAUGUCCCACUCUUCAUCCCACCCAGCCAAACUUCAGAAUGGCAGAUGUCACCAUCACUGACAAAGAGGCAUCAAAAUAAACAUCUCCUUCAUCAUGGAAGAGAAUGUGGGGUGCUCUAAUAAUUCUGGAAGACAGUGUUCCUUGUUAUUUAUUCAAUAAACAGAGGCAUCAAUAGAUAGGUAAAGAAGAAGCAGGACCUGGGACAAGGAAGCUGAGAUUGGAAGCCUUACCUGUCAAUCACUGAUCCUUGCAUAACCUAUGUUGGUUCUUCUCAUAGGUACAGAAAUCAAGUGAGACGU
Long non-coding RNA from Mus musculus (house mouse), 409 nucleotides. RefSeq annotates it as predicted gene, 30337. Lineage: Eukaryota; Metazoa; Chordata; Mammalia; Rodentia; Muridae. The transcript is spliced from 3 exons. The record is from RefSeq and is a predicted model, not a curated record.